This 254-nucleotide ribosomal RNA is filed under the name uncultured bacterium. RNAcentral's name for it is "partial 16S ribosomal RNA". It matches the Rfam family "Bacterial small subunit ribosomal RNA", at positions 524 to 776 of the family's 1533-position model. The record is from RNAcentral.
UACGUAGGGUGCGAGCGUUUGUCCGGAAUUAUUGGGCGUAAAGAGCUUGUAGGCGGUUUGUCGCGUCUGCCGUGAAAAUUUCGAGGCUCAACCUCGAACUUGCGGUGGGUACGGGCAGACUAGAGUGUGGUAGGGGAGAUCGAAUUCCUGGUGUAGCGGUGAAAUGCGCAGAUAUCAAGGAGGAACACCGGUGGCGAAGGCGGAUCUCUGGGCCAUUACUGACGUGAGGAGCGAAAGCGUGGGGAGCGAACAGG